Molecule: ribosomal RNA, 420 nt
Filed under: uncultured bacterium
Lineage: Bacteria
Description: bacterial SSU rRNA
Rfam family: Bacterial small subunit ribosomal RNA
Source: RNAcentral
AUUGAACGCUGGCGGCAUGCCUAACACAUGCAAGUCGAACGGAAACGAUGGAGAGCUUGCUCUCCAGGCGUCGAGUGGCGGACGGGUGAGUAACACAUAGGAAUCUGCCCAGUAGCGGGGGACAACUUGGGGAAACUCAAGCUAAUACCGCAUACGCCCUACGGGGGAAAGCGGAGGAUCUUCGGACUUCGCACUAUUGGAUGAGCCUAUGUCAGAUUAGCUUGUUGGUGGGGUAAUGGCCUACCAAGGCGACGAUCUGUAGCUGGUCUGAGAGGACGAUCAGCCACACUGGGACUGAGACACGGCCCAGACUCCUACGGGAGGCAGCAGUGGGGAAUAUUGCACAAUGGGGGAAACCUGAUGCAGCAAUGCCGCGUGUGUGAAGAAGGCCUGCGGGUUUGAAAGCACUUUCAGUAGGGA